GAUGGACGCUAGCGGGAGGCCUAACACAUGCAAGCCGAGCGGUAUUGUUUCUUCGGAAAUGAGAGAGCGGCGUACGGGUGCGUAACACGUGUGCAACCUGCCUUUAUCUGGGGGAUAGCCUUUCGAAAGGAAGAUUAAUACUCCAUAAUAUAUUGAACGGCAUCGUUUAAUAUUGAAAGCUCCGGCGGAUAGAGAUGGGCACGCGCAAGAUUAGCUAGUUGGUGAGGUAACGGCUCACCAAGGCGAUGAUCUUUAGGGGGCCUGAGAGGGUGAUCCCCCACACUGGUACUGAGACACGGACCAGACUCCUACGGGAGGCAGCAGUGAGGAAUAUUGGUCAAUGGGUGCAAGCCUGAACCAGCCAUCCCGCGUGAAGGACGACUGCCCUAUGGGUUGUAAACUUCUUUUGUAUAGGGAUAAACCUACCCUCGAGAGGGUAGCUGAAGGUACUAUACGAAUAAGCACCGGCUAACUCCGUG
Molecule: ribosomal RNA, 479 nt
Filed under: uncultured bacterium
Lineage: Bacteria
Description: partial 16S ribosomal RNA
Rfam family: Bacterial small subunit ribosomal RNA
Source: RNAcentral